AUUAGUUCCUAGAACAAUUCUCGGUGGACUAGCGUCUACAUGAAGCCAGAAUGAUACCCAGGAAAUAACAACAAUCAAUACCGAUGCUAGUGGUCAGUCAGCCUGUGAAAAAUCGAUUGUUCAAUUUACCAAAGUGACCAUAAUGUUGCUGUGCCGCAGUGUAAGAGACCUCAGUCUCGUUAACCCAUUUCUCAACCAGUCGAUACUCUGUUAAAUGCAAUUCUUUAGACAGUACUAUUGGCGAUUCAUCCCAGUCUAAUUUCAUAUCUUGGGCGCUAUAUCUGUUAAAUUCAGUAUAAUUAAAAAUAAUUAAUUUAAAUGAAUGCAUCGAAGAUUUAUUAAGACUACUUACAACUUUCAAAUAUCAGGGGGCAUUCCUGUACAUCGAAGGGAAAUUUUUCCAGAUAUCACAUCAAUCGAUUAACCAGUAAUGUGUAUUAUAGCUUCGCUGAUGUUUAAAGAUAACUACUAUUUUUUCGUACCUUGUAU
This 489-nucleotide long non-coding RNA is filed under the name Cotesia glomerata. RNAcentral describes it as "uncharacterized LOC123259596, transcript variant X2". The record is from RNAcentral. Lineage: Eukaryota; Metazoa; Arthropoda; Insecta; Hymenoptera; Braconidae.